GGAGAGGUGGCUUAAUGGUUAAAAGCACAUAUUGUUUUUGCAGAGUUCCUGAGUUCAAUUCCCAGUCCCCCCA
This 73-nucleotide transfer RNA is filed under the name Neotoma lepida (desert woodrat). It matches the Rfam family "tRNA". Rfam says of the family: Transfer RNA (tRNA) molecules are approximately 80 nucleotides in length. Their secondary structure includes four short double-helical elements and three loops (D, anti-codon, and T loops). Lineage: Eukaryota; Metazoa; Chordata; Mammalia; Rodentia; Cricetidae. The record is from Rfam by way of RNAcentral.